This 68-nucleotide transfer RNA is filed under the name Scolytinae sp. BMNH 1040331. Its description in RNAcentral is "tRNA-Met". The record is from RNAcentral. Lineage: Eukaryota; Metazoa; Arthropoda; Insecta; Coleoptera; Curculionidae.
AAAAAGGUAAGCUAAAUUAAGCUAAUGGGUUCAUACCUCAUUUAUAAAGGUUGAUCCUUUCCUCUUUA